AGCUCCAAUAGCGUAUAUUAAAGUUGUUGCAGUUAAAAAGCUCGUAGUUGGAUUUGUGGUGUGUGGUGGGUUCCGGGCACUUGUUGUCUGAGUAACUUGCCGCUGCCAUCCUUGGGUGGAACCUGUGUGGCAUUAGGUUGUCGUGCAGGGGAUGCCCAUCGUUUACUGUGAAAAAAUUAGAGUGUUCAAAGCAGGCUUAUGCCGUUGAAUAUAUUAGCAUGGAAUAAUGAGAUAGGACUUUUUCGCUAUUUUGUUGGUUUGCGCGAGAAGGUAAUGAUUAAUAGGGACAGUUGGGGGUAUUCGUAUUCCAUUGUCAGAGGUGAAAUUCUUGGAUUUUUGGAAGACGAACUACUGCGAAAGCAUUUACCAAGGAUGUUUUCAUUAAUCAAGAACGAAAGUA
This 400-nucleotide ribosomal RNA is filed under the name phytoplankton environmental sample. RNAcentral describes it as "partial small subunit ribosomal RNA". It matches the Rfam family "Eukaryotic small subunit ribosomal RNA", at positions 587 to 991 of the family's 1831-position model. The record is from RNAcentral.